GAAAAACAUAAUUUAUCGUUUAAAACUGGAAAAUUAUCCAUGCAUAAUCCUCCAGCAGUAACAUUAUCAACUUGGAAGGGACAAAAAACAAGGUGAAAUGAGAGAUACUUUAAAUAAAAUUUAAAUCUAGAUACCUUAUAAAAGUAAUUGUACUUUUGAUUUACAAAGUAGACAGGGAAGAUCACACUUCAAUGCAAAUAGGAUUCAACAAAUGUCAUCCACACUUUGGUCUGAAUUUGCAGCACUGAUGAUUGUUCUCCUCACAUUAGUCCACCGGAACUUCAACUUCCAGCUUCAAACCAGAAUUACCAGGAAUCUGGAUGCAAAGUAUAGGUCAAGUCAGCACAGCACAUGA
Molecule: unclassified non-coding RNA, 355 nt
Filed under: Hevea brasiliensis (rubber tree)
Lineage: Eukaryota; Viridiplantae; Streptophyta; Magnoliopsida; Malpighiales; Euphorbiaceae
Source: RNAcentral